Molecule: long non-coding RNA, 898 nt
Organism: Syzygium oleosum
Lineage: Eukaryota; Viridiplantae; Streptophyta; Magnoliopsida; Myrtales; Myrtaceae
Exons: 2
Source: RefSeq, a predicted model, not a curated record
UUCCCAAGAUCCCCAUUGUUAGCGAGAGAGAGAGAGAGAGAGAGACGGUGAAGUUUUCAAAAUGUGACGUAGGUCCGAUAGGCUCGUCCGGAAGGACCAAGACAAAACAUGGAUCAAUCAUGCAGUCAUGAGCGGUCUUGUUUGGCAUGGAACACUCACGUGAACCCCAGCUUCGCUUCGUCAUUUGACCGACCCAAAGACCCAUCAAACCAUAACGUAUGAAGCUCAUGUCCUCACCUCGCUCCCCUGUAUCAUGUGAUGAUAUACUCUCCUCCGCAAAUCCAUGUGCUCUCUCAUUUAUCCAUCUCUCUUUCUUUCUUCCCAUCUCUCACCUGUGUAGCCCUCUAGAUGAUGAAACCUUCACUUCUCCUCUCCCUCUGUCUCCUUAUUACUACUGCCUUCUAUCUCUGCUCCUCUUCGAGCUCACCGGCUGAUUCCUUGGUUUUACACGACACGGGACGACGAGCCACGAUGACAAGAGAUCUAAACAUGCCCUUUGUCAACAGAAAGCUCAAAAGCCACAGCGUCAAGGUUCUUGAUGACAAAAGGGAAAGAUCAAAUGUUCGACAGGGUAGCACUGAACUUCAGACUUUGAGCAACGAUAACAGCACGGAUGACCUUGUGUAUCACAUCGACUACCAUGGAGUAACAACUCAUCCAACUCCAACUCCAAAACACCCCUAAAACACAGCAAACGCCGGCCGUUCAGCUUGUCCAACUUUUUUUAUGUAUCCUCUCCAAUACAAAAAAUCAUGAUGUAUUAGUCACUUGUAUCAUUAGCAACAUUCUUCAUGCAUCUUUUCCUUACAUUUCGCUUCCAUAAAGGACAUAGUUGUCAUGGUAAUCCGCAAAGAGGAGAUGAAUCAUGUUUAAUUAAUCUAAAAGAAAAUUCAGCUUU